Molecule: long non-coding RNA, 1448 nt
Organism: Perognathus longimembris pacificus (Pacific pocket mouse)
Lineage: Eukaryota; Metazoa; Chordata; Mammalia; Rodentia; Heteromyidae
Exons: 3
Source: RefSeq, a predicted model, not a curated record
UGUGGCUCAAGUGGUAGAGUGCUAGCUUCAAGUUGAAGAGCUCAGGGACAGCCCCCAGGCCCAGAGUUCAAGCCCCAUGACUGACAAAAAAGGAAUAAACAAGAAACUAGAAAAAGUGGUUACUUUAGAAAAGAGAAUCUCUGGCAGAAAAGGAUGGAGGAUGACUUUACAGCUUAUCUUCUGUACUAUUUGCAGGUAUUAACUGUUCAAAGUAAAUCAUAAAAAAUUCUCAGAAUUCCAGAAGAAGAAAAAAAGACCCUUUACUAUCAUGUGAUUCUAGGUGUCUAUUAGAGUUCACUGCAUAUACUGUGAUUCCCUAAACAGUAAGGCCUCAACAAGUAGGCUUUCACAGAAGCUAAGACAAACUAAAAGAAAAAAAAUACUAAGUAGAUUCUUCCAAGAGACAGACAGAUCAAUCACUGUCAUUUUGUGGACUCCACCUUUGACCCACAAAAAUGCUCUUAUUUUCCUUCUUCCUCGAGAUGGUGACAAUAACAGCCUUUCAUCUCAGCACCCAGCCACCUCAGGAAGAGGCUAUUACACUAGGAUAGCCACUACGCAUGCAUCAAGCUACAAAUCAUAUCAAGAAGCCAGAAUAGGAUAUCGAGGAUUCUUUGGCUCUGACCAAAACAAAAUAAAAGAAACAAAGUUGAUGUCCACAAGGAAACUAACAUGUGUAACAUUUCAUUUUUUUUCACAUGAGGUCCCCAAGACACUUUUCCAAUUACCCCACGUUGGAGGUAGGAUUACUUCUUAAGAAAAAUGAAAGAGAAUAGCUUCAGCAAUAUUUAGUGUGUGGGGAUAGAGAUUUGAGUCAAUAGUAGAUGGUGUUCUCGGCAUGCAUGAAGCCUGGGGUCAAUCCUGAGCACCAGAAAAAAAUAAACACAAGUGAUUUUUACCAAUGUUCCCCAAAAUGUGGUUCCAUAAAAAUACUAAGAGACUACAUAGCCAUAUAAAUGAAUGUAAGUAAUACAGAAGUAACAAACUCACAUAACAAGGAACUACCAUGAACUCAGCAUCAUUAUACAAUUGGAAAUCUUGGGAAAGAACUGAAAAUGGAAAGUUUCAUGCACGUUUUGCACAUUCAAGAUCUGCAAUCAACCCUUGACACUUAGUAGACACUAUGUCAGUCUGUUUUUAGAAUACCUGAAGUACAGAGCUACUUUAUUCAAAAUCCCUGAGAUUUUUAGGGAACAUUAAUGUCUCCAAAACAGCACAGCAGAGUUGGGAUGUAGCUCAAUGGCAAAGCACUUGCCUAGCAAGUGCAACAUCCUGGGUUCAAUCCCCAGUACCAAAAAGAAAAAAAAACAAAACAGCACAGCACAGAGUUUAUAUACUGAACAAAUCUUACCCAGGCUCCCGUAGGUAAUUAAGUUCUCCACCACUAACAGUUCCCUGUUUUUUUGCCAGUCCUGGGGCUUGAACUCAGAGCCUGGGCACUGUCCCUG